GCGGAAGUAGCUCAGUUGGUAGAGCAUAACCUUGCCAAGGUUAGGGUCGCGAGUUCGAAUCUCGUCUUCCGCUCCA
RNAcentral lists this transfer RNA (76 nucleotides) under Entomomonas asaccharolytica. RNAcentral's name for it is "Entomomonas sp. F2A tRNA-Gly". It matches the Rfam family "tRNA". Rfam says of the family: Transfer RNA (tRNA) molecules are approximately 80 nucleotides in length. Their secondary structure includes four short double-helical elements and three loops (D, anti-codon, and T loops). Lineage: Bacteria; Pseudomonadati; Pseudomonadota; Gammaproteobacteria; Pseudomonadales; Pseudomonadaceae. The record is from RNAcentral.